Non-coding RNA from Pelodiscus sinensis (Chinese soft-shelled turtle), 6715 nucleotides. Lineage: Eukaryota; Metazoa; Chordata; Testudines; Trionychidae. The record is from RefSeq and is a predicted model, not a curated record.
CCCCCCGCCCCCCCCCCCCCGAGUCCAGCAAGUCGGAUCCCGUCUAGUUCACUGGGGGAGGGGGCAUUUAUCUCCUGGGCCAAGGAAUCUGUCCCAGUGUAAAUGAACGAAACCUUCCAAAUGGCAGCGAGGCGCCGCAGGUAAGGCACUUGGCAAAGUCAGGAGAGCUGGGUUCUGAGCGGCUGUGUGGGCUAAUGGUUAGCACGGGGGGGAAGCCAGGAUUCCUGGGCUCGCUCCCUGGCUUUUCCUCUGGGUCUUGGAGCAAGACUCCUGGGUGCACCUGUCACACCGGCAGGGUCCUCCCCCGCCCUGCCCCUCGCCCCGGGAGCCGGAGCUGCGGGAAGGCUCCGGAGAAGCGUGUCCUGACAGCAUCAUCCUUCGGGACUCCACCCAGCCAGAAUGCAGGGCCCGAGGCCGAACGUGGGCCGGGGAGAGAGGCCGGGGGUCGCACGCGCUCCUUAGCCCAGCUGGAUUCCCCCCGCCUCCCGUUCUACUCCUGAUCCGACAGCCCCAGUGAGGCACCAGAGGGGAGUUCACGGCGGCGGCAGAGGCUGGCAAAGUCUACCCCUGCCACGCCGGUGCCCGAUCCGCAGCCCCCUGCCCUCGCACUCGAGCCCACCAGCAGGACCACGGCUUGUGUGUCACAUCAGCUACACGGGCCUGGGCUGGCAGAGCUGGGCUGGCACCCUGGGGCAUCAAACCGGACACCCCAGGGGCUAAAACCAAGAGCUGCUACAGCUCCCAGCUAGGCCCUGCCAUGCUGCCAGGCAGAACAGCCCAGCGGGAGGGCUGGGACACGCAGCCCUGGAGCAACAGGCAGCUGCAGGAAACGCCCGUCACCAGGAGCUCGCCCCCUGCUGGACGAAGGCAGCCCAAGGACACUGCCCCCCCCCAAAACGGUUUUUGUUUAAAAAGCCGUAAUCCUCCCACUUAACGGGCUUUUUACCCCAGCUCCACGCGCUGCGUUUUCUAGACGAUUUUAAUCGCUUUGGCAAGCCGGGUCUUUUGGGCUGGGUUCCAAGAUGCGAAGCUUGUCAAACAUUCGCAGCUUCCCGCUCCCGCCUCACAGUGAAACUGGCUGGAGAACAGAAACCGUACAGGGACCGACUCUCCAGUGACAGAGGGCUGGGGCGAUCGGGCACAGCCGGACGAUCACCUUUCUGCCCCUACAAACAAGCAGCAAGGGGCUUAAAUUGCAGCAAGGGAGGUUCAGGUUGCACAUUAGGAAAAACGUCCUGUCCGGGUGGUGAAACACUGGAAUAAAUUCCCUAGGGGGGUUGUGGAAUCUCCAUCACUGGAGAGAUUGAAGAGCAGGAUGGACAGACGCAUUCUACGGCUGGGACAGGCAUUUUAAAAUCCCCCGCCGGCUCGGUGGCUCUAAGAACAACAGCUAAAGACCCUGCAGAAGCACGUUGUAACAAACGUGUCCCCUGCCCGGCCUUCAGCACUGCAGGAUUAGAACUCAGAUCGGCCGGGACCAUCGCCUGCUGUGCUACGGGCGCCUGGCCCGACAGCGAUGCCUUUUGUCCCACACGGGAGCGGGUCAGAUUUCAACCCAGAGCUGCAGCCGCGAGCAUGUUACAAUUAGAGGCCACCCCUUCCCAUCCAGGUUUCCAGAACACGCUUCUCUGUACCCCCUGGCUUCUGGGUGCUGAGCCGAGCACGCAGAAUCAGGACCCUAACAGCGCAAUCAAGUGACAUUACAGUCCAAUCACCCCCCCCCAUCAUUUUGUUUAAUCGAGGGGAGGGGGGAGAAUAAAAUCAGCAAAAAGAUGCACCCGGAUUUCUUCCCCAUACACCACAUUGAAAAAAAACACGUUAAAAACAAAGGAGCAAUUAAAAAAGGGCUAUUUCAAUGAACUAACACCCCACACUCCUCUUUGUUUGCUAGUACGUGACCACGAUGCAAAACCUCCCCCAACGUCUUUGCUUUUCAUUUCUCCAAGAGCCAAACUAACGGAUGAGGCGGAUCUAAGUGUCCGGGUGGAUCAAAGUUACCUCCCCCCUGCCCCCGGGAGCCAGGCAGUCGAGCUACCAAACUGCGAUGAAACAGAGUCGGGAGGGACAGGAGGCGGCAGGGGAGAGAUGAGGGACGUUUGGUCCAAAUUUGGAGCUCUGUCCCGAGUUCAAAUUGCGUCCCCAUGUGGUGCUUGGUUCCACUGUGAAGCCGUUCGCGGUGAUUUUGACAGGCUUUCCUGGCCCUGGUCUCAGCACCUCACAGGAGCAGGGUCCAAGGGCAGCGUCCUACUCCUCAGCUGCUGGCCGUGGUCUGGUGCAAUGCCACAGUCAUGCCAGGAUAACGCACAAGGGGGAGGAACCAAGCCCACCUGGAAGAGGGCUGUUCUUAAAAGCACCCUCGGCUCGUGAGAGCUGACAGACUCCAGUGGCGCCGUGGCCAAUUCAUCCCAGAGAAGGGGUUAGCCCCUGCAGAUUUGCCUCCCCGAGGUGAAUUCACACCGGCACGUGUCUUUUUUGUCAGCUUCAAGGCUGCAUGUGAUGCAUCGAUCCGGAGCCGGCCCGCUGACCGGGGGUGAAUGUUCCAUCUUCUGCGUGGAAGUUUGUAUUCAAAUGGAUUGCACUUGGCUGCUGCACCCUUCCAAAGGCUGUUAAAAAUACGUACCCUAGAAAUAUUCCUGGGGGAGGGCCUCUCAAACCCAACACAGCUGGUGGCUUCAUUUUUUAAGCGGAUUUAAUCUCUUACAAUUUUCGUAGGCAGACACUUUCCAAAACUGGCUCAUUUCUCCCUCCUCCCCCACCACUUUUCACCAAGAAGAUGAAACAUUCCAAGCGAAGGGGGAAAGCUUUUACUUUUAAAAAAACACCAACUGCCAAAACCCUCACCAAACCGGACAGUGUCUUUCCUGGGCGCACGCACGAGAGGGAAAUGGGUCUCUGCGUACAAGUCCUGGCGGCUCAGAGCUGGCGAACAGCUGUAAGAUCUACCCAGGGAUGGCACCGUGUUAAUUCGCCUCGUGCCGGUACGAGCAGGAAGCGCCGGGGAACGACAAGCCUGAUACAAACGGCAGCUGUCAGGGCGCAAUUGCUACGCUGUCCUGGAGGGGUUUGACAGCCGCACACAGAAAGCACCAAAUUAGGGACCAUUGGGCAGGAAACCAUAGAAAUGUGGGGCUGGAAGGGACUUCGAGAGGUCGCCAUGUAGACCGGACCACAAACGUAGACCAGCCCCAACAGCGGUUUGCCCAGCCUGGCCUUAACCCCCCGCGAUCACCGAGAGAAGGGGUCCUCUUCACAUAGCCAAUCCGCCCCCUUUUCCCCAGGCUCCCCAUGCCCAGCUUUUAACCUUUUCCGUGCCCUUCUCUGGCCUCUCUCCAAGGGAUCCACCGACAGCACGGGCACCCGGAGCAGCCAGAGGCCCGGCCAGUGCCGAGCAGAGCGCGCCAAUUACUUCCCCCAUCUGACACUGCCCCCCCUUGUGAGCACCCCCCAGAACGAGCCUUUCUAGAGGCUGCGGCAGCCAAGUUAUCGCCCCCAGAUCCUUCCCAGGUCCUGCCCAGCGCUUCCCCAUGUUGAUUUCCCCUUCUCGAGGGAAGUUCCCUGCUCUCGUCUUUACUGAGCUGCAUCUUCGUGGCUUCCCACCCGUUCUCUCGUUCAUCCAAGUCCUUUGGAACGCGACUCCCGCCCCUCCCAGCGCCUGGCACCCCCCCAGCGUGGGCAUCUGCACGGCUCACAAGCCCGCUCCAUCCUCCGAGUCAUUCAUGAAAAUUCCGAGCCCCACGCCUGACCCCCCGUGGGACACCGCACAAGACUUCCCCUCCCCUCCCAAUUCUAUAGCUCCAAGUCCUCUUUGAGUCUUUCAGCCAGUUCGCUGCCCAUCUUGUACUGACGUCCUCUGGCCCACGCGUCCCUCGGUGGCUGAUGAGAAAGUCACAGGGGGCUGUGUCAAAAGCUGCCUCAAAUCACAACUCCUGCACCCGCUCCAUCCGGGGGCCAGUCCCCUUUGCUCAAUGGGGCGUGAUUUGCUCUUGACCAAGCCAUGCUGGCUGUUCCUUAGCACCUUGUUCUCCUCUUGGGCCCGCCACACGGGCUGUCGUAUUAGCAGUACCGCCGUAUUUCCGGAGCUCAGAGUCAGGCUGACGGUGCCGUGAUCACCCGGGGUCUCUUUGCUUCCUUCUUUAAAGAUCAGCAUGUUUGCCCUUCUUUGCUCCUCCAGGUCCUAACACCCCUGCCUGGGGGAACGCCCACCAACGGCUCAUCUAUUUGCUGGUCGAUCAACACUGGAGUACGCAGCCACAGACCAACGCACAGAUGCAGCUCGUAUCGACAAAGUCCUCCUGCCGGCUGGCGAGGUCCCCUCCCUGAACGCCGCUAGCUACGUGCCUACACCAUCCUGUGCCAGGAGACGGAUUUCUUCCCACUCCCGGACAACACAGCUGGGCCGGCAACACUUCGACGAAGCCCCACCCACAGAAGUUGCCCCGGUUUAAGGGCAAUGGGUUUAGCUGGGUGCAGACGCUCUUACGUAGCUUUCAAAGCGGUUUAGCACGUGGCUGUAACUUCAGCAGCAUUAGCCACGUUUAAAGUCGUGUUGGAUCUGGUUUAACUCCAUCGGUACGAACACCACACCCUUCCCUACAGCAAUCCGAGCAUGGGUGUAGGAUAGGUGUGAGAGAGGGGGAGCACUGCUGGUGGUGCCUUCAUGGCAGCCAGGGGCUGGUUUUCCACGUCUCAGGCUUCCCAUUCAGAUGCUGCUUCCUGAGCCACAUGGUGCAGCUGUGACUGCACUCCAAGCGAGCAACUCGAGGGGGAAGCAAAUUGCAAUCAAUAGAGGACGAUCCUCCAACCCUUUCCCACAAGCCCCCUCGGCAGCCAACGCUGAGCCGUCUGACCCAGGCCAUCCUCCUUCUCGUGCCUCUUAGUUCCCACCCCUACACCUUCACCGCGCCACUUCCUGCACACAUAGUCCGGUCCUGAACCCUCCAAUCGGGCGCAAACUCCCCGGGACAGGCUGACAAGGGCUUUGAGUUUCUUUCUACCCAUCCCCUCUCCCCAUCCGCCGUCACACGCACAAACUGAUCUGACUGUACAGCAGCUAGCGAGGCUGCCCGCAUGGCAUUGUGCUUCCAUCCUUCACCAGGAGCGGCCGGUCGCCCGUCUGAAACGCUCCUGUUCUGGUCCCCACGCUCUGAAAUGCAGCUGAUUUUUUACAUUCAUUUUAAAUGUUUUUUAAAAAACUCUCCCCAGUCCCCAUAACAUAAUUACGGGGAAAGUUUUAUUGGCUCCAAGAAACACUCACUCCUAAGGUGGGGCAUUGCGUUAAAAAGAAAACAGAAGGCUGCAAAAAAAAAUUUUCUUCUAAGAGGGAUAAGAAAGAUUUCAUGUCAGUAUUUUAAUUCCCAGUUUGGGAGCAGGGGGAGGGGAAGUGCAGUUGUUUGGUUUUGUUAAUUUAAAAAGUGUUCCCAGAUGCAGUAACCAUGAUGGCAACAAAAACAACAAUUCUUAGCAGCUUGUCCAAGGGAAGUAUCACUAAACCCAUUUCACAGAUGGGGAAACCGAGGCACAAAAAGGGGAGGCAAGUUGCUUAAGGCCAUGUGGUAAGUCAGUAACAGAGCUAAAAACAAGCACACAGGAGUCCUGACUCUGCCCCCAGGAUAACCACUAGACCUCACUCCCCUCGCAGAGCUGGCAAUAGAACCCCAGAGUCCUUGACUGUAAAGCAGCACAGAAGUGAAACUGACUAGAAAGAGAAGGUGAAAUUAACCAGACUAAUUUCAAGAAAAUAUACAGCCUCAAUCAGUUGCAGGAAUGGAAACUAGGCCAAGCACUUAACGAGAAGCAUAUGAGUAGGCUAAUGAACACACACACCUGCUUGCAGAUGCCUCCUGUCUCUGUCUGCAGGAUCAGGGUCUAUGUUAUCAAACACACAAAUUGGGAUCGUGCCAUUAACCAGAAAGGAUUCAAACAUAUUUCUCUCCCCACUCCCCCAACAAUGCCCCUUGCUAUUUCAAAAACCAACGUGGAAUUACAUAGCACAUUCAGGGUCUCCUCUAUGCUGGAUUUUGGUUUUACAUCAGUGUAGCUACAAAAUGAUCAGCGUCAAUGCCAAAAAAAAUAGACCCGCCCCCCUCCAGAAAACAGAACCCGCUCAGCCUAAGCCAGGACGUUUUGUUUCUGAGCAUUUUAAACGGUAUUUGUAACAUAAAACUGAAGGUCAUUUCUGAACAAAAUGUUAUUAGGAAAAUCGAACUCGUUGGAAAAUGUCAAAACAAAACGUUUCAGGGGCAGGGUUUUGGCCAAAAGAGUUCAGUGAAACUGCCCCGUUUUGCAUUGGCAUAUCCGCCUUUUUCACCUGACAGCAACCUCAGCUAACAUUUUGCACCCAGCUCUGUGGCUGAUCUCCGAUUUCACGCUAGUGUAACACGACACCCCUUGUCCAGGGAAUGAAUCUCAGACUAGUGGCAAUAAAAGCCAAAGCCGCUCCGGUUGGAGCUAAAAGAUGUGGCCCAUCAGCUCAUGAGGAGAUUCAAACUUUCACAUGCGGCCUGGCCCCUCGAGGGAGGCAAAGCAACCGGGAAUGAGGCCGACUCUGCCCAGGGUUCGAAUCCCCAUAGUGUCACUGGCUGCUCCGCUAGGAUUUUACACUCUGACGUUGGAAGGGGGAAGAAGAGAAAGAAAAAAUCCAGUGUAGACGCAAUGUGGAAAGACAUCACAGCCGGAAGCGAUGCUGUCACUUGCUUUAAAAAAAAAAAAAAAAAAA